This 497-nucleotide ribosomal RNA is filed under the name uncultured bacterium. RNAcentral describes it as "partial 16S ribosomal RNA". It matches the Rfam family "Bacterial small subunit ribosomal RNA", at positions 28 to 507 of the family's 1533-position model. The record is from RNAcentral.
GAUGAACGCUGGCGGCGUGCCUAAUACAUGCAAGUCGAGCGAACGGACGAGAAGCUUGCUUCUCUGAUGUUAGCGGCGGACGGGUGAGUAACACGUGGAUAACCUACCUAUAAGACUGGGAUAACUUCGGGAAACCGGAGCUAAUACCGGAUGAUAUUUUGAACCGCAUGGUUCAAAAGUGAAAGACGGUCUUGCUGUCACUUAUAGAUGGAUCCGCGCUGCAUUAGCUAGUUGGUAAGGUAACGGCUUACCAAGGCAACGAUGCAUAGCCGACCUGAGAGGGUGAGCGGCCACACUGGAACUGAGACACGGUCCAGACUCCUACGGGAGGCAGCAGUAGGGAAUCUUCCGCAAUGGGCGAAAGCCUGACGGAGCAACGCCGCGUGAGUGAUGAAGGUCUUCGGAUCGUAAAACUCUGUUAUUAGGGAAGAACAUAUGUGUAAGUAACUGUGCACAUCUUGACGGUACCUAAACAAAAAGCCACGGCUAACUACGUG